Molecule: ribosomal RNA, 497 nt
Filed under: uncultured bacterium
Lineage: Bacteria
Description: partial 16S ribosomal RNA
Rfam family: Bacterial small subunit ribosomal RNA
Source: RNAcentral
GAUGAACGCUGGCGGCGUGCCUAAUACAUGCAAGUCGAGCGAACAGACGAGGAGCUUGCUUCUCUGACGUUAGCGGCGGACGGGUGAGUAACACGUGGAUAACCUACCUAUAAGACUGGGAUAACUUCGGGAAACCGGAGCUAAUACCGGAUAAUAUAUUGAACCGCAUGGUUCAAUAGUGAAAGACGGUUUUGCUGUCACUUAUAGAUGGAUCCGCGCCGCAUUAGCUAGUUGGUAAGGUAACGGCUUACCAAGGCAACGAUGCGUAGCCGACCUGAGAGGGUGAUCGGCCACACUGGAACUGAGACACGGUCCAGACUCCUACGGGAGGCAGCAGUAGGGAAUCUUGCGCAAUGGGCGAAAGCCUGACGGAGCAACGCCGCGUGAGUGAUGAAGGUCUUCGGGUCGUAAAACUCUGUUAUUAGGGAAGAACAAAUGUGUAAGUAACUAUGGACGUCUUGACGGUACCUAAUCAGAAAGCCACGGCUAACUACGUG